CACCGCCACCCCCACCCGCUUUCAACAUGCCACGGAGCAGCACGGAGCAGACGGUCACCCACGAGUUAAUAUUUGAUCGCAGAAGAAUCCUAUUUAUUAUUUUUCUUCACGGAAAAUUACAAAUGACCAAAUGUCGACCAUAGUUGCUGUUAUCACGCGGAACACGAUUAAGUCGCCUUGGUUACGAACACACCCGCGAAUCCUGUUCUCGCUGAGAAUGAAAAAAUGCGUGAAGCCGGUCGUCUUCGAUGUCGGGUUUUCGAUAAACGAUAUCUCUGGAGCCGGUUCCAUCGAUGUUGGCUUCCCGAAGACAAACCUGCAUGAAUAUUAUCCAAUCCACCGCGAACAUCGUCGUUAAAUUGCGACUUUUUGCCAGCGAAACUGUCAAUUGAAAGAAGACUUGUGUUAGCGUUGAUUGCAGGUAGCAGUUCACCGUAAUUACGCGAAACAAAUGCUGAUUUUUCCAGCCAGAAUUUCAAUUAGUGUAGCCAGACUCUUUUCAGUGCACUAAAAGGGAAAUUCCAUACUAACAUACUAUACCACUGAAGCCCUAUGAAAUAUUUACGAAAGAUCAAAGGUAAACCAGUUCGAGCACGAUGAUGAUUUUCUGAACUUUAAUCCCGUAUGCUUGAACACUGAAGCGAAGCGCAUUAU
Long non-coding RNA from Trachymyrmex cornetzi, 654 nucleotides. RefSeq lists it as uncharacterized. NCBI's taxonomy places the organism in Eukaryota, Metazoa, Arthropoda, Insecta, Hymenoptera, Formicidae. The transcript is spliced from 3 exons. The record is from RefSeq and is a predicted model, not a curated record.